Molecule: ribosomal RNA, 465 nt
Filed under: Vreelandella stevensii
Lineage: Bacteria; Pseudomonadati; Pseudomonadota; Gammaproteobacteria; Oceanospirillales; Halomonadaceae
Description: partial 16S ribosomal RNA
Rfam family: Bacterial small subunit ribosomal RNA
Source: RNAcentral
CCUACGGGGUGCUGCAGUGGGGAAUAUUGGACAAUGGGCGAAAGCCUGAUCCAGCCAUGCCGCGUGUGUGAAGAAGGCCUUCGGGUUGUAAAGCACUUUCAGUGGGGAAGAAAGCCUUGGGGCUAAUACCCUCGAGGAAGGACAUCACCCACAGAAGAAGCACCGGCUAACUCCGUGCCAGCAGCCGCGGUAAUACGGAGGGUGCGAGCGUUAAUCGGAAUUACUGGGCGUAAAGCGCGCGUAGGCGGUCUGAUAAGCCGGUUGUGAAAGCCCCGGGCUCAACCUGGGAACGGCAUCCGGAACUGUCAGGCUAGAGUGCAGGAGAGGAAGGUAGAAUUCCCGGUGUAGCGGUGAAAUGCGUAGAGAUCGUGAGGAAUACCAGUGGCGAAGGCGGCCUUCUGGACUGACACUGACGCUGAGGUGCGAAAGCGUGGGUAGCAAACAGGAUUAGAUACCCCUGUAGUC